AUUGAACGCUGGCGGCAGGCCUAACACAUGCAAGUCGAACGAGUGGCGGACGGGUGAGUAAUGUCUGGGAAACUGCCCGAUGGAGGGGGAUAACUACUGGAAACGGUAGCUAAUACCGCAUACCAUCGGAUGUGCCCAGAUGGGAUUAGCUAGUAGGUGGGGUAACGGCUCACCUAGGCGACGAUCCCUAGCUGGUCUGAGAGGAUGACCAGCGACACUUGAAGUGAGACACGGUCCAGAGUCAUACGGGAGGCAGCAGUGGGGAAUAUUGCACAGUGGGCGAGAGCCUGACGCAGCCAUGCCGCGUGUAUGAAGAAGGCCUUCGGGGUGUAAAGUACUUUCAGCGAGGAGGCGUUACUCGCAGAAGAAGCACCGGCUAACUCCGUGCCAGCAGCCGCGGUAAUAC
Molecule: ribosomal RNA, 406 nt
Filed under: uncultured bacterium
Lineage: Bacteria
Description: partial 16S ribosomal RNA
Rfam family: Bacterial small subunit ribosomal RNA
Source: RNAcentral